UGGGGAAUAUUGCACAAUGGGCGCAAGCCUGAUGCAGCCAUGCCGCGUGUAUGAAGAAGGCCUUCGGGUUGUAAAGUACUUUCAGUCGGGAGGAAGGUGGUAAGGUUAAUAACCUUGGCGAUUGACGUUACCCGCAGAAGAAGCACCGGCUAACUCCGUGCCAGCAGCCGCGGUAAUACGGAGGGUGCAAGCGUUAAUCGGAAUUACUGGGCGUAAAGCGCACGCAGGCGGUCUGUCAAGUCGGAUGUGAAAUCCCCGGGCUCAACCUGGGAACUGCAUUCGAAACUGGCAGGCUAGAGUCUUGUAGAGGGGGGUAGAAUUCCAGGUGUAGCGGUGAAAUGCGUAGAGAUCUGGAGGAAUACCGGUGGCGAAGGCGGCCCCCUGGACAAAGACUGACGCUCAGGUGCGAAAGAGUGGGGAGCAAACAGG
This 429-nucleotide ribosomal RNA is filed under the name Chloroflexota bacterium. RNAcentral describes it as "Chloroflexi bacterium partial 16S ribosomal RNA". It matches the Rfam family "Bacterial small subunit ribosomal RNA", at positions 355 to 776 of the family's 1533-position model. Lineage: Bacteria; Bacillati; Chloroflexota. The record is from RNAcentral.